RNAcentral lists this unclassified non-coding RNA (329 nucleotides) under soil metagenome. RNAcentral describes it as "partial contains 5.8S ribosomal RNA, internal transcribed spacer 2, and large subunit ribosomal RNA". The stretch from base 1 to 120 matches the Rfam family "5.8S ribosomal RNA", at positions 35 to 154 of the family's 154-position model. The record is from RNAcentral.
GAUGAAGAACGUAGCGAAAUGCGAUAAGUAAUGUGAAUUGCAGAAUUCAGUGAAUCAUCGAACCUUUGAACGCACAUUGCGCCCCCUGGUAUUCCGGGGGGCAUGCCUGUCCGAGCGUCAUUACAACCCUCAAGCUCAGCUUGGUGUUGGGCCCCGCCGCCCCGGCGGGCCCUAAAGUCAGUGGCGGUGCCGUCCGGCUCCGAGCGUAGUAAUUCUUCUCGCUCUGGAGGUCCGGUCGUGUGCUCGCCAGCAACCCCCAAUUUUUUUCAGGUUGACCUCGGAUCAGGUAGGGAUACCCGCUGAACUUAAGCAUAUCAAUAAGCGGAGGA